UGUUUCUCUAAAUAAUGAAUGCAAAAAAUACGCUGAGGAAGCAAGGGAGCAGUACAAUGCAAGGAGGCGUGCAGCUUAUCGGAAGAAAAAUAAUGAGGAUAUUGUCAGCUUACAAGAUGAGAAUCAGCCGGUACUUGCAAAAUCUGAUCAUAGGGAUCUUAUCAACGCUCGUAGGCGGGUGGCUUAUCGCAAUAACAAGUCAGAUGGUUCGGCUAACCAACAAGUCAAUGGGAAGUCAUCCCGUCGCCAGUCUCUAUGUGAUAUCACAAAUGUUCUCGAAGAUAGGGAGAUAAAUAAACCCACACGAGAUUAUCAUGGUUGGUAAAUUGAUCCACGUCCCGUAUGCACUGUGUUUGCACGAAGGUAGUCACUUAUUACGCAAUUUAAAUAAGUACUGACCAAUCUUGUUGAAUCAUAUAAUUCAGCUAGCUCGGACUAUACAUCAGUCUCGCCUAAUGAUGUAACAUACCCUCAUGAAGCUACGGUCACAUCGGGUGUCCUUUGUGUGGGAGAUAAAGAAGAAUAUUUUUCCAAAGUAGACCAAAGAAACGCCCUGGAAAGGGCUUCCUGUCGGCGGAAAAAACAACCUAAUGUCCGAGAUGAAAAUGCGCAUGCCCUUCAUUCAUCAGGCAAGCUUAAAUUGUUUUAUUGUUUUAACCAUGAUAGUCGGUACCAUCAAAACCAUUAAGCUGACAUAUGUUUGGACAACUUUGGUUCAACAGACAACCCAACUAGCUCUAACUAUACAGCAUUCUCGCAUGAUGCGUCAACAUUUCCUGCUACAAGUACGGUCACAUCUGGUCUCAUUAAUGAAAAUGAAAUACAAGAUGCAAAUGUAAUCAUGUAUGACACCCCAGAAACAGAGCAUAAAACGGAAGAUGAACGCAAGAGAGGCCAUAGAAACACAGUAAGAAGGGCUUCAUAUCGGCGGAAAAAACAACCUAAUGUCCGAGAUGAAAAUGCAUGGACCCUUCUUUUAUCAGACAACCCAACCAGCUGUAAAACAUUUCCUGGUUCAAAUACGGUCUCAUCUGGACUCAUCUAUGACAACGAGCUUCAAGAAACAGAGCAAAAAACGGAAGAAGAACACAAGAGAGACCAUAGAAACGCCCUGAGGAGGGCUUCCUAUCGGCGGAAGAAACAAUAUAAUGUUCAAGUUGAACAUGCACAGACCCUUCAUUUAUCAGGUAAGCUUAUAAUGAUUUAACCAUUAUGGUCAGAACCGUCUUAAUAAUUAAGCAUUAAUAUGUGUGGACAACUUUGGUUCACCAGGCAACCCCACUAGCUCUAACUAUACAUCAUUCUCGCGUGAUGCGCGGACAUUUCCUGAUACAACUACGGUCUCAUGUGGGAUCGUUAAUGACAACGAGCUACAAGAUGUGAUUUUGAAUGACACACAAGAAACAGAGGAAAAAACAGAAGAAGAACGCAAGAGAGACCAUAGAAACGCCCUGCGGCGAGCUGCUUAUUGGAGGAACAAGGAUAAGCAUAUCAAAGAUCAAAACAAACGUCCAUCUGGUACUUCAGACGACCUGAAUAGCCCUAGCGUUACAGAAUUAAUGAAAGAGGGAGCAACAUGUCCCCCUUCAACUUUACACGCGUCUGUCAUUCAGGACACUAUUCUAGCUAGGAGGCAAAGUGACAAUGAGCGGAAACAUAAUUUAACAAACGAGCAAAGGGAGGCGAAAAACGCAAGUAGCAGAGCAUGCCAUCAGAAGAAAAGUGACGAAUUAACGGUGGAGGUCAGAGAAACAAAGAAUGAAAAAAUACGCGUGAAUCACGUGCAGCGCCGCAAAAGCAUGUCGGUGAUUGAGAAGGGGGAGUCAAGUGCACAGAGGAAGGCCAAUUAUGAAAGAAGGAAAAAAACACCGUGCAAAGAAUGCAUCGCAAUCCCCUUUACAGACCUAGCAAACUCAACCUCUGAAUGUCCCACUUCCCCAAGCCGCGCAUCACCCGUCUCUCGGGCCG
Non-coding RNA from Aegilops tauschii subsp. strangulata, 1968 nucleotides. The record is from RefSeq and is a predicted model, not a curated record. NCBI's taxonomy places the organism in Eukaryota, Viridiplantae, Streptophyta, Magnoliopsida, Poales, Poaceae.